UCAUGGGACGGGCCGAGUUUCGACGAAGAAAACGUCGAGAACGGGGGAUCCGGUGUUUUGGGGUGAAUUGAGUGAGUACGCCUGUACGCACUCAUAGGUAGUUGGUUGAAAAGACGCAACCAAGGCCGAACCCGUCAGCUAACCUCGUAGGCGAAUACUAGUGGAUUG
RNAcentral lists this small RNA (168 nucleotides) under Alicyclobacillus sp. Its description in RNAcentral is "c-di-AMP sequence". It matches the Rfam family "c-di-AMP riboswitch aptamer (ydaO/yuaA leader)". From Rfam's summary of the family: This family represents a conserved RNA structure found upstream of the ydaO and yuaA genes in Bacillus subtilis and related genes in other bacteria. The ydaO/yuaA element is thought to act as a genetic "off" switch for the ydaO and yuaA genes in its native state. It is believed that the element may be triggered during osmotic shock leading to activation of ydaO, a predicted amino acid transporter gene, and members of the yuaA-yubG operon which code for KtrA and KtrB K+ transporters. The record is from RNAcentral. Lineage: Bacteria; Bacillati; Bacillota; Bacilli; Caryophanales; Alicyclobacillaceae.